AAGAAAAAAGAUUUAAUCUUAAGCUGCUAACUUAAAGAUUUAGCGGUUAAACUCCGUUAUUUUCUUU
Molecule: transfer RNA, 67 nt
Filed under: Kaylathalia klovstadi
Lineage: Eukaryota; Metazoa; Arthropoda; Collembola; Entomobryomorpha; Isotomidae
Description: tRNA-Ser
Source: RNAcentral